RNAcentral lists this ribosomal RNA (556 nucleotides) under Alternaria alternata. RNAcentral describes it as "eukaryotic LSU rRNA". The stretch from base 203 to 356 matches the Rfam family "5.8S ribosomal RNA". Lineage: Eukaryota; Fungi; Ascomycota; Dothideomycetes; Pleosporales; Pleosporaceae. The record is from RNAcentral.
UAGGGUCGCUGAAGCGUGACCUGCGGAGGGAUCAUUACACAAAUAUGAAGGCGGGCUGGAACCUCUCGGGGUUACAGCCUUGCUGAAUUAUUCACCCUUGUCUUUUGCGUACUUCUUGUUUCCUUGGUGGGUUCGCCCACCACUAGGACAAACAUAAACCUUUUGUAAUUGCAAUCAGCGUCAGUAACAAAUUAAUAAUUACAACUUUCAACAACGGAUCUCUUGGUUCUGGCAUCGAUGAAGAACGCAGCGAAAUGCGAUAAGUAGUGUGAAUUGCAGAAUUCAGUGAAUCAUCGAAUCUUUGAACGCACAUUGCGCCCUUUGGUAUUCCAAAGGGCAUGCCUGUUCGAGCGUCAUUUGUACCCUCAAGCUUUGCUUGGUGUUGGGCGUCUUGUCUCUAGCUUUGCUGGAGACUCGCCUUAAAGUAAUUGGCAGCCGGCCUACUGGUUUCGGAGCGCAGCACAAGUCGCACUCUCUAUCAGCAAAGGUCUAGCAUCCAUUAAGCCUUUUUUUCAACUUUUGACCUCGGAUCAGGUAGGGAUACCCGCUGAACUUA